GCCAGACUCCUACGGGAGGCAGCAGUGGGGAAUAUUGCACAAUGGGGGGAACCCUGAUGCAGCGACGCCGCGUGAGUGAAGAAGUAUUUCGGUAUGUAAAGCUCUAUCAGCAGGGAAGAAAAACCGACCAUAGGGUCGCUAGACGGUACCUGAUUAAGAAGCCCCGGCUAACUACGUGCCAGCAGCCGCGGUAAUACGUAGGGGGCAAGCGUUAUCCGGAUUUACUGGGUGUAAAGGGAGCGUAGACGGCAGCGCAAGUCUGAAGUGAAAUGCCGGGGCUUAACCCCGGAACUGCUUUGGAAACUGAGCAGCUAGAGUGCAGGAGAGGUAAGUGGAAUUCCUAGUGUAGCGGUGAAAUGCGUAGAUAUUAGGAGGAACAUCGGUGGCGUAAGCGCUUUACUGGGCCGUAAUUGACACUGAGGAACGAAAGCCGGGGUAGCAAAUGGGAUUAGAUACCCUGGUACA
Molecule: ribosomal RNA, 465 nt
Filed under: uncultured bacterium
Lineage: Bacteria
Description: partial 16S ribosomal RNA
Rfam family: Bacterial small subunit ribosomal RNA
Source: RNAcentral